RNAcentral lists this long non-coding RNA (296 nucleotides) under Elaeis guineensis (African oil palm). Its description in RNAcentral is "long non-coding RNA (EGUI_LNC018597)". The record is from RNAcentral. Lineage: Eukaryota; Viridiplantae; Streptophyta; Magnoliopsida; Arecales; Arecaceae.
AUCUUUUCAACCCACCAGCCAGUGCCAUUGUUAGUGCCGCAUACUCCCUUCCAUUCCUCACACGACUUGGUCUCGUCCUCAUCCAAUGCCUUCUUGUAUGACCUUUUCUUUUGUCCCCUUCUACAAACAAUUUGAGAUCUUUGCUGUCACACGCUCUGUCUCGUCCCAACUCCACCAAAGCACGCAGCAUUAGAAUUCAAACCACCACCAUCUACACUCCAUCCAAUGAAGAUACUACUCCACACCCAACACUCAGAGAGGUUCCAAAAGAGUGAUGGCACAUGGGGAAGCAGGCC